AAGGUUAAGUUAAUAAGGGCGCACGGUGGAUGCCUUGGCACUAGAAGCCGAUGAAGGACGUGACUAACGACGAAAUGCCUUGGGGAGCUGUAAGUAAGCAAUGAUCCAGGGAUGUCCGAAUGGGGGAACCCGGCAGGUAAUGCCUGUCACUCACUACUGUUAAGGUAGUGAAGAGGAAGACGCAGUGAACUGAAACAUCUAAGUAGCUGCAGGAAGAGAAAGCAAAAGCGAUUGCCUUAGUAGCGGCGAGCGAAACGGCAGGAGGGCAAACCGAGGAGUUUACUCCUCGGGGUUGUAGGACUGCAAUGUGGACUUAAAGAGUAUAGAAGAACUACCUGGGAAGGUAGGCCAAAGAGAGUAAUAGCCUCGUAUUUAAAAUAUUUUUUAUACCUAGCAGUAUCCUGAGUACGGCGAGACACGCGAAAUCUCGUCGGAAUCCGGGAGGACCAUCUCCCAACCCUAAAUACUCUCUAGUGACCGAUAGUGAACCAGUACCGUGAGGGAAAGGUGAAAAGUACCCCGGAAGGGGAGUGAAAUAGAACCUGAAACCGUGUGCCUACAACAAGUUCGAGCCCGUUAAUGGGUGAGAGCGUGCCUUUUGUAGAAUGAACCGGCGAGUUACGAUAUGAUGCGAGGUUAAGUUGAAGAGACGGAGCCGUAGGGAAACCGAGUCUUAAUAGGGCGGAUUAGUAUUAUGUCGUAGACCCGAAACCAUGUGACCUACCCAUGAGCAGGUUGAAGGUGCGGUAAGACGCACUGGAGGACCGAACCAGGGCACGUUGAAAAGUGCUUGGAUGACUUGUGGGUAGCGGAGAAAUUCCAAACGAACUUGGAGAUAGCUGGUUCUCUCCGAAAUAGCUUUAGGGCUAGCGUCGACAUUUGAGAAUCUUGGAGGUAGAGCACUGUUUGGAUGAGGGGGCCAUCUCGGUUUACUGAUUUCAGAUAAACUCCGAAUGCCAAUGAUUUAUGGUCGGCAGUCAGACUGCGAGUGCUAAGAUCCGUAGUCGAAAGGGAAACAGCCCAGACCACCAGCUAAGGUCCCAAAAUAAUUGUUAAGUGGAAAAGGAUGUGGGGUUGCACAGACAACUAGGAUGUUAGCUUAGAAGCAGCUAUUCAUUCAAAGAGUGCGUAAUAGCUCACUAGUCGAGUGACCCUGCGCCGAAAAUGUACCGGGGCUAAAACAAUUUACCGAAGCUGUGGAUAACACUUUAGUGUUAUGGUAGGAGAGCGUUCUAUGUGUGAAGAAGGUAUACCGUGAGGAGUGCUGGAACGCAUAGAAGUGAGAAUGCCGGUAUGAGUAGCGAAAGAUGGGUGAGAAUCCCAUCCACCGUAAGACUAAGGUUUCCAGGGGAAGGCUCGUCCGCCCUGGGUUAGUCGGGACCUAAGGAGAGACCGAAGGGUGUAUCCGAUGGACAACAGGUUGAUAUUCCUGUACUAGAGUAUGAAGUGAUGGAGGGACGCAGUAGGCUAACUAAAGCGGGCGAUUGGAAGUGCCCGUCUAAGCAGUGAGGUGUGAUAUGAGUCAAAUGCUUGUAUCUGUAACAUUGAGCUGUGAUGGGGAGCGAAGUUAAGUAGCGAAGUUAGUGACGUCACACUGCCGAGAAAAGCUUCUAGCGAUGUAUCAUACUCUACCCGUACCGCAAACCGACACAGGUAGUCGAGGCGAGUAGCCUCAGGUGAGCGAGAGAACUCUCGUUAAGGAACUCGGCAAAAUGACCCCGUAACUUCGGGAGAAGGGGUGCUGGCUUAAAGUCAGCCGCAGUGAAUAGGCCCAAGCAACUGUUUAUCAAAAACACAGCUCUCUGCUAAAUCGUAAGAUGAUGUAUAGGGGGUGACGCCUGCCCGGUGCUGGAAGGUUAAGAGGAGGGUUUAGCGCAAGCGAAGAUCUGAAUUGAAGCCCCAGUAAACGGCGGCCGUAACUAUAACGGUCCUAAGGUAGCGAAAUUCCUUGUCGGGUAAGUUCCGACCCGCACGAAAGGCGUAAUGAUUUGGGCACUGUCUCAACGAGAGACUCGGUGAAAUUUUAGUACCUGUGAAGAUGCAGGUUACCCGCGACAGGACGGAAAGACCCCAUGGAGCUUUACUGCAGUUUGAUAUUGAGUAUCUGUACCACAUGUACAGGAUAGGUAGGAGCCUACGAAGUCGGGACGCCAGUUUCGACUGAGGCGCUGUUGGGAUACUACCCUUGUGUUAUGGCUACUCUAACCCGGAUAGGUUAUCCCUAUCGGAGACAGUGUCUGACGGGCAGUUUGACUGGGGCGGUCGCCUCCUAAAAGGUAACGGAGGCGCCCAAAGGUUCCCUCAGAAUGGUUGGAAAUCAUUCGCAGAGUGUAAAGGUAUAAGGGAGCUUGACUGCGAGAGCUACAACUCGAGCAGGGACGAAAGUCGGGCUUAGUGAUCCGGUGGUUCCGUAUGGAAGGGCCAUCGCUCAACGGAUAAAAGCUACCCUGGGGAUAACAGGCUUAUCUCCCCCAAGAGUUCACAUCGACGGGGAG
This 2495-nucleotide ribosomal RNA is filed under the name Streptococcus suis. RNAcentral's name for it is "partial 23S ribosomal RNA". It matches the Rfam family "Bacterial large subunit ribosomal RNA", at positions 1 to 2515 of the family's 2925-position model. The record is from RNAcentral. Lineage: Bacteria; Bacillati; Bacillota; Bacilli; Lactobacillales; Streptococcaceae.